GGAAUUACUGGGCGUAAAGCGCGCGUAGGCGGUUUGUCAAGUUGGAUGUGAAAUCCCUGGGCUCAACCUAGGAACUGCAUUCAAAACUUAUAGACUAGAGUACGAUAGAGGAGAGUAGAAUUCCUGGUGUAGCGGUGAAAUGCGUAGAUAUCAGGAGGAAUACCAAUGGCGAAGGCAACUCUCUGGAUCGACACUGACGCUGAGGUGCGAAAGCGUGGGUAGCAAACAGGAUUAGAUACCCUGGUAGUCCACGCCGUAAACGAUGAGAACUAGCCGUUGGAUCUUAGAUUCAGUGGUACAGCUAACGCAUUAAGUUCUCCGCCUGGGGAGUACGGCCGCAAGGCUAAAACUCAAAUGAAUUGACGGGGGCCCGCACAAGCGGUGGAGCAUGUGGUUUAAUUCGAUGCAACGCGAAAAACCUUACCAACCCUUGACAUCUAGUGAAAUUUCUAGAGAUAGAUUUGUGCCUUCGGGAACACUAUGACAGGUGUUGCAUGGCU
RNAcentral lists this ribosomal RNA (500 nucleotides) under uncultured Candidatus Portiera sp. RNAcentral describes it as "bacterial SSU rRNA". It matches the Rfam family "Bacterial small subunit ribosomal RNA", at positions 547 to 1050 of the family's 1533-position model. The record is from RNAcentral. Lineage: Bacteria; Pseudomonadati; Pseudomonadota; Gammaproteobacteria; Johnevansiales (SeqCode); Johnevansiaceae (SeqCode).